GGAGGGUAUGGCGUUCUGGUGGCGCUCGCGGGCUUCAAACCCGAAUGGUGGGGCGGUUGACCGUCUCGCGGGGAGUUCGAUUCUCUCACCCUCUC
RNAcentral lists this transfer RNA (95 nucleotides) under Campylobacter sp. 19-13652. Its description in RNAcentral is "tRNA-SeC". It matches the Rfam family "Selenocysteine transfer RNA". Lineage: Bacteria; Pseudomonadati; Campylobacterota; Epsilonproteobacteria; Campylobacterales; Campylobacteraceae. The record is from RNAcentral.